RNAcentral lists this ribosomal RNA (429 nucleotides) under uncultured bacterium. RNAcentral's name for it is "bacterial SSU rRNA". It matches the Rfam family "Bacterial small subunit ribosomal RNA", at positions 355 to 775 of the family's 1533-position model. The record is from RNAcentral.
UAGGGAAUCUUCCGCAAUGGACGAAAGUCUGACGGAGCAACGCCGCGUGAGUGAUGAAGGUUUUCGGAUCGUAAAGCUCUGUUGUUGGGGAAGAACAAGUACCUGUUAAAUAAGCAGGUACCUUGACGGUACCUAACCAGAAAGCCACGGCUAACUACGUGCCAGCAGCCGCGGUAAUACGUAGGUGGCAAGCGUUGUCCGGAAUUAUUGGGCGUAAAGCGCGCGCAGGCGGUUCCUUAAGUCUGAUGUGAAAGCCCACGGCUCAACCGUGGAGGGUCAUUGGAAACUGGGGAACUUGAGUGCAGAAGAGGAGAGCGGAAUUCCACGUGUAGCGGUGAAAUGCGUAGAGAUGUGGAGGAACACCAGUGGCGAAGGCCGCUCUCUGGUCUGUAACUGACGCUGAGGCGCGAAAGCGUGGGGAGCGAACAG